AGGACGAACGCUGGCGGCGUGCCUAACACAUGCAAGUCGAACGAGGUCCAUCCGGUAGCAAUACUGGUGAAGAUCAAGUGGCGAACGGGUGAGUAGCACGUGAGCAACCUGCCCCGAAGACCGGGACAACACCGGGAAACCGGUGCUAAUACCGGAUAUCCCCACCGAGUCGCAUGGCUUGGUGAGGAAAUGGAUUCCGCUUCGGGAGGGGCUCGCGGCCUAUCAGCUUGUUGGUGAGGUAAUGGCUCACCAAGGCUUCGACGGGUAGCUGGUCUGAGAGGACGAUCAGCCACACUGGGACUGAGACACGGCCCAGACUCCUACGGGAGGCAGCAGUGGGGAAUCUUGCACAAUGGGCGAAAGCCUGAUGCAGCAACGCCGCGUGAGGGACGAAGGCUUUCUGAGUUGUAAACCUCUUUCAGCAGGGACGAUUGUGACGGUACCUGCAGAAGAAGCCCGGCACUACGCGCCAGCAGCCGCGGUAAU
This 486-nucleotide ribosomal RNA is filed under the name uncultured bacterium. RNAcentral's name for it is "SSU rRNA". It matches the Rfam family "Bacterial small subunit ribosomal RNA", at positions 26 to 524 of the family's 1533-position model. The record is from RNAcentral.